RNAcentral lists this long non-coding RNA (232 nucleotides) under Gossypium barbadense (sea-island cotton). RNAcentral's name for it is "long non-coding RNA (GBAR_LNC001562)". The record is from RNAcentral. Lineage: Eukaryota; Viridiplantae; Streptophyta; Magnoliopsida; Malvales; Malvaceae.
AUUUGGUGACCCAAUUUUGUAUGUUUAUGAAUGAUAAAGUUUCGCUAAUGCCUCGAGCCCUGUCCCGGUUUUGGAUACAGGUGAGGGGUGUUAUACCGCUACUGUCAUACGGCCUUACUUUAACUCUAGAAAUUCCUUCCUCUUUUGGUCUAUAAUCCUCUGAAAAAUAUACUUCUUUUAGAACUCUUCCUAGAAUAAUUCCCAAGUUACUCUUUCUCUCGAUAGCACAAAC